RNAcentral lists this long non-coding RNA (983 nucleotides) under Rattus norvegicus (Norway rat). Its description in RNAcentral is "long non-coding RNA NONRATT017872". Lineage: Eukaryota; Metazoa; Chordata; Mammalia; Rodentia; Muridae. The record is from RNAcentral.
UGGUACUAGAAUGGCUCUGGUAAACCCUAGGGCUGUGCUAAGAGGGCAAGCCUGUGGCCACAAUAAAGUUAUCUUUCACCAGCCAAGUUCCUAAAGGAUCUGGCUGGGUUUGUGGGUGACUGACUAUGCAGCCCAUAUAUUGUGAUGUAUUGUGACCCUUUUUCAGGUCAUGGCUUUAGAACCAGUGUUAGGAUAGCUAAACUGGAUGAAACCAGGGGAAGCCAUUGAUACUGCCUGUUUCUCUAUCUGUAGAGUGAGUUUAUUGGUAUACUUCUCCGUUAAGAGCUACAGGGGUCCCAGAGGGUCUCAGGCCAUCAGUUUUGCCACUAGGUCAGAGGUACCAGUGUCCUGGGUGUCCUUAUGACAUACUGCAGACACAGGUUUGCCAGAUUAGAGCUGUAUUGCUGAGUUGUGAUGCCCCAGGAUGCUCUAGGGAAACCAUUUUUCCUGCCUCUCGCAGGAGCCCUAGCAGACCUAAGUAAAUGGACUUUUUGUUUGUUUGUUUUGAUUUUGUUUUUCGAGAUAGGGUUUCUUUGUAUAAUCCUGGCUGUCCUGGAACUUACUCUGUAGACCAGGCUGGCCGCCAACUCAGAGAUCCGCCUGCCUCUGCCUCCCGAGUGCUGGGAUUAAAGGUGUGCACCACCCUUGCCCAGGUGGUAAAUACAUGUCUUUAUGUCCAGGUUUUCUCUGUCUGUUCCUCUCUUCUUAGGAUACCAUUUAUAAUCAGAUUAAGGACCAAUUCUACUGCAGGACAACCUUAUUUUAGCAGAUUACUUAUUUAAUGACUCUGUUUCCAAAUAAGGCCACAUUUGGAGAUAGGACUUACAGUGUCACUGGACAGUCAGUGUCCUGAGCUUUACUACUGUCUCUUUGAAGAGAUACAGUUUGACCCAUGGCAGUCUGUAGUUUCUAAAAUUACUACUCUUCCCAGGAGCAAAUUAGCCAAUACCAGUAUCUCCCAAGUAGCAUCCCAACUGAUGCUA